This 74-nucleotide transfer RNA is filed under the name Phycisphaerales bacterium. Its description in RNAcentral is "tRNA-Pro". It matches the Rfam family "tRNA". From Rfam's summary of the family: Transfer RNA (tRNA) molecules are approximately 80 nucleotides in length. Their secondary structure includes four short double-helical elements and three loops (D, anti-codon, and T loops). Further hydrogen bonds mediate the characteristic L-shaped molecular structure. tRNAs have two regions of fundamental functional importance: the anti-codon, which is responsible for specific mRNA codon recognition, and the 3' end, to which the tRNAs corresponding amino acid is attached (by aminoacyl-tRNA synthetases). tRNAs cope with the degeneracy of the genetic code in two manners: having more than one tRNA (with a specific anti-codon) for a particular amino acid; and 'wobble' base-pairing, i.e. permitting non-standard base-pairing at the 3rd anti-codon position. Lineage: Bacteria; Pseudomonadati; Planctomycetota; Phycisphaerae; Phycisphaerales. The record is from RNAcentral.
CGGGGUGUAGCGCAGCUUGGUAGCGCGCUUCGUUCGGGACGAAGAGGUCGUAGGUUCAAAUCCUAUCACCCCGA